Molecule: long non-coding RNA, 972 nt
Organism: Entelurus aequoreus (snake pipefish)
Lineage: Eukaryota; Metazoa; Chordata; Actinopteri; Syngnathiformes; Syngnathidae
Exons: 3
Source: RefSeq, a predicted model, not a curated record
CGUGCCAAAACCUGGAGAAUAAUAAUAAUAAUAAUAAUAAAUAGAAGAAUUUUGGUGUGUAAAACAUGAGUGAAUGUUUUGCAGCAUUCACACAAUAAUAUAUUUCAUGAUUUUAACACUGAAAGUUUACAUGAUGACAUCAUCCCCAAUGACUUUAGCAUGUUAACGUGUGUAAACAGUACCUUCACAUGCAAUAUGAUAAGCGGACUAACACCUAGUUACUCCUCAGCGGGCUCAGAGUCGGGACCCUCGUCCUGGAGGCCGGCCGUGUGGUGGGCGUCAGAGGUGGGCGUGUCGGACGCUCCCUGAGACAGCUCUUCGGAACACCUGCUGGCGGCGGGCGAGACCACGUCCGGGCUGGUGUCGCAGGAGUCUGUGCUCUGACCCGAGAUUCUGACUCUUCUCCAGGAGGAGCUGGUUUGUACGCAACUUGAAAGCUAGCAGCGUCCCCAGGAAGAAGUGGGAUGUAUUGCAUUGUGGACUUCAAAGUAAAAGCUGCUUGCUGCUGGUGGUGGAAGAAGGCGACUCCUUCGUGUAAGUGCUUCUUGGAAAAGGAGCAACCUUUUCUUCUUCUUCCGAGAUGAUUACCAGACUUUGUCGGACAUGGUGGCAGCGCUCUGGCCGCAGGCGGGCGACUCCUUGGCCGGCUGGUCGGGCGGGGGCGACAUCCGACUGACGGCCACCUGGGUGGGGUCGGCCUCCGCCUCCUCCUCCUCCUCCUCCUCCUCUUCUUCGUCCUCGUCCUGCUGCUGCUUCUUGCAGGGUUUGAAGAGGUGCGGGUGGAUGAGCACCUCCCCGAAGCGACCCUUGUAGAUGAUUCCACAACACACCCGCUGUCUGCACCACACAAAGCACGAGUUAGCUUCAUGUCAACUAACACGUCAAGUCGACCUGUUUUUCCUGACCGGAAAGCUCCCACGAUUGAUUAAAAUAACAUUUCAUUCGAUUCACCAAUUCGUUUGUACACUUGUA